ACAACUUUCAACAACGGAUCUYUUGGCUCUCGCAUCGAUGAAGAACGCAGCRAAAUGCGAUAACUAAUGUGAAUUGCASAAUUCARUGAAUCAUCGAGUCUKUGAACGCACCUUGCGCCCUUUGGUAUUCCGAAKGGCAUGCCUGUUUGAGUGUCARUWA
Molecule: ribosomal RNA, 160 nt
Filed under: Hymenopellis raphanipes
Lineage: Eukaryota; Fungi; Basidiomycota; Agaricomycetes; Agaricales; Physalacriaceae
Description: 5.8S ribosomal RNA
Rfam family: 5.8S ribosomal RNA
About the family: 5.8S ribosomal RNA (5.8S rRNA) is a component of the large subunit of the eukaryotic ribosome. It is transcribed by RNA polymerase I as part of the 45S precursor that also contains 18S and 28S rRNA.
Source: RNAcentral